UACGAAGGGGGCUAGCGUUGCUCGGAAUUACUGGGCGUAAAGGGAGCGUAGGCGGGUUAUCAAGUUGGAGGUGAAAGCCCAGGGCUCAACCUUGGAAUUGCCUUCAAAACUGAUAGCCUAGAGUAUGGAAGAGGUAAGUGGAACUCCGAGUGUAGAGGUGAAAUUCGUAGAUAUUCGGAAGAACACCAGUGGCGAAGGCGACUUACUGGUCCAUGACUGACGCUGAGGUGCGAAAGCGUGGGGAGCAAACAGG
RNAcentral lists this ribosomal RNA (253 nucleotides) under uncultured bacterium. RNAcentral describes it as "partial 16S ribosomal RNA". It matches the Rfam family "Bacterial small subunit ribosomal RNA", at positions 524 to 776 of the family's 1533-position model. The record is from RNAcentral.